Molecule: RNA transcript, 1186 nt
Organism: Salvia splendens (bonfire salvia)
Lineage: Eukaryota; Viridiplantae; Streptophyta; Magnoliopsida; Lamiales; Lamiaceae
Exons: 5
Source: RefSeq, a predicted model, not a curated record
CUAUCCACUCUUGGUUUUAUCUUCUUCUUCUUCUUCUUCAAAUUCACGACUGCACAAACCAGAGAAACGAACAGCUGUAAUCAAUCGCAAUCAUGGCGCAAAAGAAGAAAGAGCUGCUGUCAUCAGCGCUAUGGAGGAUGGGCCCACAAGAAGAAGACAAAUUCAAGGACGCUAAGUUGAAGGUCACGUCACAGCCCGGUGCAACACCCAAAAUGCACGUCCCCGGCAAGAAAACGUUCGGCUCCAAAAACGACACCGUUGGGGAGGAUUCUCUCACUGAAAUCGACCCUGAACUUCGCUACAGCAAUUUCCAGUUCCUUCAAAACGUCUUCAGCAUUGAUACGAUUGUGAAGCCCCUUCCUCCAACAAUGGCAUACAAUGUCUCGCGCAAUUUAUCCUUCUUCACAAGGAUCUUCACACAGUUCUUUGAUCCCGAUGGUAUAGCGGAUGCACAGAAUCGCUUGGAUUAGGUCAGGAGGAGAAAGCUCGCAAGGAUAUCUGAUUCCAAAAGGGUGGAAGGUGCUGCCACUUUUCAGAAACAUCCACCACAAUCCAUAAAAUUUCCCUGAGCCAGAGAAGUUUGAUCCUUCAAGAUUUGAGGCUCCUGUGAGGCCCAAUACAUUCAUCCCAUUUGGCAGUGGGGUCCACUCAUGCCCAGGGAAUGAGCUUGCCAAGCUGGAGAUCUUGUUGAAAUUUUUGCAGGUAUUCUAUGAUGGCCCCACAGAAUGGAGUUCAGUAUGGACCCUUCCCUCUUCCCCAGAAUGGUCUGCCAAUUAAAAUAUCUCUCAAAAAAUGAGUCCAAAUGCAAAGCAUGUUUCCUGCCAAGUGGGAGACUAGUAAUAAAGAGACACCACCUUUUUCUGUUGCCUUUGAUCAAGAAAUGGAGGCAGCCCACAGUUAGAGAGAAUUGUAUAUAAAGAAUUUCAAGAAACUGAUAAAAAUAUUUAUUCACAUUUCUCUGUUGCCUUUGAUCAAGAAAUGGAGGCAGCCCACAGUUAAAGAGAAUUGUAGAUAAAGAAUUUCAAGAAACUGAUAAAAAUAUUUAUUCACAUUUCUUCUACAGGGAUAAAAAUAAUUAUAAUAAGUAGCUAUAUAACUAGACAAAUUCUUUGUAUUUUAGCUCUUUUGCUAUGCGAAGAAGUCCGCAAGGCAAUCAAUGAAAAUCUAUAGUCUCAGUUUUGGCAAA